RNAcentral lists this ribosomal RNA (264 nucleotides) under uncultured prokaryote. Its description in RNAcentral is "partial 16S ribosomal RNA". It matches the Rfam family "Bacterial small subunit ribosomal RNA", at positions 524 to 788 of the family's 1533-position model. The record is from RNAcentral.
UACGUAGGGGCAAGCGUUAUCCGGAUUUACUGGGUGUAAAGGGAGCGCAGACGGAACUGCAAGUCUGAUGUGAAAGCCCGGGGCUCAACCGCGGGACUGCAUCGGAUACUGUAGAUCUGGAGUGCCGGAGGGGCAAGCGGAAUUCCUGGUGUAGCGGUGAGAUGCGUAGAUAUCAGGAGGAACACCGGCGGCGAAGGCGGCUUGCUGGACGGCAACUGACGUUGAGGCUCGAAAGCGUGGGGAGCAAACAGGAUUAGAUACCCG